ACCUGACUGCUAUCGGAUUGAUACUAAGCCAUGCGAGUCAUUGUAGCAAUACAAGGCAUACGGCUCAGUAACGCGUAGUCAACCUAACCUAUGGACGGGAAUAACCUCGGGAAACUGAGAAUAAUGCCCGAUAGAACACUAUACCUGGAAUGGUUUGUGUUCCAAAUGAUUUAUCGCCAUAGGAUGGGACUGCGGCCUAUCAGUUUGUUGGUGAGGUAAUGGCCCACCAAGACUAUUACAGGUACGGGCUCUGAGAGGAGUAGCCCGGAGAUGGGUACUGAGACACGGACCCAGGCCCUAUGGGGCGCAGCAGGCGAGAAAACUUUGCAAUGUGCGAAAGCACGACAAGGUUAAUCCGAGUGAUUUCUGCUAAAGAGAUCUUUUGUUAGUCCUAGAAACACUAACGAAUAAGGGGUGGGCAAGUUCUGGUGUCAGCCGCCGCGGUAAAACCAGCACCUCAAGUGGUCAGGAUGAUUAUUGGGCCUAAAGCAUCCGUAGCCGGCUCUGUAAGUUUUCGGUUAAAUCUGUACGCUCAACGUACAGGCUGCCGGGAAUACUGCAAAGCUAGGGAGUGGGAGAAGUAGACGGUACUCGGUAGGAAGUGGUAAAAUGCUUUGAUCUAUCGAUGACCACCUGUGGCGAAGGCGGUCUACCAGAACACGUCCGACGGUGAGGGAUGAAAGCUGGGGGAGCAAACCGGAUUAGAUACCCGGGUAGUCCCAGCUGUAAACUAUGCAAACUCAGUGAUGCAUUGGCUUGUGGCCAAUGCAGUGCUGCAGGGAAGCCGUUAAGUUUGCCGCCUGGGAAGUACGUACGCAAGUAUGAAACUUAAAGGAAUUGGCGGGGGAGCACCACAAGGGGUGAAGCCCGCGGUUC
RNAcentral lists this ribosomal RNA (876 nucleotides) under uncultured crenarchaeote. RNAcentral describes it as "bacterial SSU rRNA". It matches the Rfam family "Archaeal small subunit ribosomal RNA", at positions 21 to 903 of the family's 1478-position model. The record is from RNAcentral. Lineage: Archaea; Thermoproteati; Thermoproteota.